This is a long non-coding RNA of Gallus gallus (chicken), 604 nucleotides long. Lineage: Eukaryota; Metazoa; Chordata; Aves; Galliformes; Phasianidae. The record is from Ensembl.
UCCAGCAGUGAAUCGAUUCAGUCAGGUGAUGAGGCUUUAAGGUCUGUUCUGGAGUGGGCACAGAGGGGCUGUGUUCCUGCACAUCCUCCUUCCAAGGCUUUAUUACCUUCGAUCCCACUCUUACGGGGAAGCAGACAUCUGUUUGGGGCUGGCAGAGGGUUUAACGGCGCACAACUGCCAUCCCAGAGAAUGGAGAGGGUUGGGACAGCCCCUGGGGAAGGUAACCUCGAGCUUUGCAGUUUCCUUCCAGACUGCUACAGCAUGGAUGGAGCCCCCAAAGAAACCUUCAUUCCUGUCCUAAAUGCAAGCAAAUGGAGAAUGAAGAUUGCUCUUUGUUACCUCACCGCUUCGAUGGAGUUGAUACCACGCUGGGAUGGCUGCACAGCCUCAGGAGCCUCUUGGAGACCGAUGCUAUUUUCUCCCCCCCUACACCACGCUCCUACUUUCUGAUUUGAGGCAAACUUAAAUUGAACGCCAGCACUUCAAAGGGGAAGGAGAACGCUCUGCCUGGGAAAUGUUUAACUGAGAUACUGAAGUGUUCCUGAAAUGAGCGGUGCCGUUUAGAAGACGUCAAAACAAAAAGCUUCAGCCUUCUGAGUUUCCU